UGGGGAAUAUUGGACAAUGGGGGCAACCCUGAUCCAGCAAUGCCGCGUGUGUGAAGAAGGCCUGCGGGUUGUAAAGCACUUUCGGUGGGGAGGAGGAUUGAUUGGUUAAGAGCUGAUUAAUUGGACGUUACCCAAAGAAGAAGCACCGGCUAACUCCGUGCCAGCAGCCGCGGUAAUACGGAGGGUGCGAGCGUUAAUCGGAAUUACUGGGCGUAAAGGGUGCGUAGGUGGUUGAAUAAGUUAGGUGUAAAAUUCCUGGGCUUAACCUGGGGAUGCCAGCUAAGACUGUUUGACUAGAGUAUAGGAGAGGGUAGUGGAAUUUCCGGUGUAGCGGUGAAAUGCGUAGAGAUCGGAAGGAACACCAGUGGCGAAGGCGGCUACCUGGUCUAAUACUGACACUGAGGCACGAAAGCGUGGGGAGCAAACAGG
Molecule: ribosomal RNA, 429 nt
Filed under: uncultured Legionella sp.
Lineage: Bacteria; Pseudomonadati; Pseudomonadota; Gammaproteobacteria; Legionellales; Legionellaceae
Description: bacterial SSU rRNA
Rfam family: Bacterial small subunit ribosomal RNA
Source: RNAcentral